This 81-nucleotide transfer RNA is filed under the name Conidiobolus sp. Its description in RNAcentral is "tRNA-Leu". It matches the Rfam family "tRNA". Rfam says of the family: Transfer RNA (tRNA) molecules are approximately 80 nucleotides in length. Their secondary structure includes four short double-helical elements and three loops (D, anti-codon, and T loops). Further hydrogen bonds mediate the characteristic L-shaped molecular structure. tRNAs have two regions of fundamental functional importance: the anti-codon, which is responsible for specific mRNA codon recognition, and the 3' end, to which the tRNAs corresponding amino acid is attached (by aminoacyl-tRNA synthetases). tRNAs cope with the degeneracy of the genetic code in two manners: having more than one tRNA (with a specific anti-codon) for a particular amino acid; and 'wobble' base-pairing, i.e. permitting non-standard base-pairing at the 3rd anti-codon position. The record is from RNAcentral. Lineage: Eukaryota; Fungi; Entomophthoromycota; Entomophthoromycetes; Entomophthorales; Conidiobolaceae.
ACCUACUUGGAGAAAUUGGUAAACUCGAAGAACUUAAAUUUCUUUGCCUAUGGCUUGAGGGUUCAAGUCCCUCAGUAGGUA